AGCCCAGAGCCUGAAUCAGUGUGUGUGUUAGUGGAAGCGUCUGGAAAGGCGCGCGAUACAGGGUGACAGCCCCGUACACAAAAAUGCACAUGCUGUGAGCUCGAUGAGUAGGGCGGGACACGUGGUAUCCUGUCUGAAUAUGGGGGGACCAUCCUCCAAGGCUAAAUACUCCUGACUGACCGAUAGUGAACCAGUACCGUGAGGGAAAGGCGAAAAGAACCCCGGCGAGGGGAGUGAAAAAGAACCUGAAACCGUGUACGUACAAGCAGUGGGAGCACGCUUAGGCGUGUGACUGCGUACCUUUUGUAUAAUGGGUCAGCGACUUAUAUUCUGUAGCAAGGUUAACCGAAUAGGGGAGCCGAAGGGAAACCGAGUCUUAACUGGGCGUUAAGUUGCAGGGUAUAGACCCGAAACCCGGUGAUCUAGCCAUGGGCAGGUUGAAGGUUGGGUAACACUAACUGGAGGACCGAACCGACUAAUGUUGAAAAAUUAGCGGAUGACUUGUGGCUGGGGGUGAAAGGCCAAUCAAACCGGGAGAUAGCUGGUUCUCCCCGAAAGCUAUUUAGGUAGCGCCUCGUGAAUUCAUCUCCGGGGGUAGAGCACUGUUUCGGCAAGGGGGUCAUCCCGACUUACCAACCCGAUGCAAACUGCGAAUACCGGAGAAUGUUAUCACGGGAGACACACGGCGGGUGCUAACGUCCGUCGUGAAGAGGGAAACAACCCAGACCGCCAGCUAAGGUCCCAAAGUCAUGGUUAAGUGGGAAACGAUGUGGGAAGGCCCAGACAGCCAGGAUGUUGGCUUAGAAGCAGCCAUCAUUUAAAGAAAGCGUAAUAGCUCACUGGUCGAGUCGGCCUGCGCGGAAGAUGUAACGGGGCUAAACCAUGCACCGAAGCUGCGGCAGCGACGCUUAUGCGUUGUUGGGUAGGGGAGCGUUCUGUAA
This 941-nucleotide ribosomal RNA is filed under the name Escherichia coli. Its description in RNAcentral is "partial 23S ribosomal RNA". It matches the Rfam family "Bacterial large subunit ribosomal RNA", at positions 296 to 1246 of the family's 2925-position model. Lineage: Bacteria; Pseudomonadati; Pseudomonadota; Gammaproteobacteria; Enterobacterales; Enterobacteriaceae. The record is from RNAcentral.